AAGACCUUGCGCUUUUGGAGCGGCCGAUGUCUGAUUAGCUAGUUGGUGGGGUAAUGGCCUACCAAAGCUUCGAUCAGUAGCUGGUCUGAGAGGACGGCCAGCCACACUGGGACUGAGACACGGCCCAGACUCCUACGGGAGGCAGCAGUGGGGAAUUUUGGACAAUGGGCGCAAGCCUGAUCCAGCCAUGCCGCGUGAGUGAAGAAGGCCUUCGGGUUGUAAAGCUCUUUCAGCCGGGAAGAAAAGGCUGCGACUAAUAAUCGCAGUUCAUGACGGUACCGGAAGAAGAAGCACCGGCUAACUACGUGCCAGCAGCCGCGGUAAUACGUAGGGUGCGAGCGUUAAUCGGAAUUACUGGGCGUAAAGGGUGCGCAGGCGGUUUUGUAAGUCAGAUGUGAAAUCCCCGGGCUCAACCUGGGAACU
RNAcentral lists this ribosomal RNA (423 nucleotides) under uncultured bacterium. Its description in RNAcentral is "bacterial SSU rRNA". It matches the Rfam family "Bacterial small subunit ribosomal RNA", at positions 207 to 622 of the family's 1533-position model. The record is from RNAcentral.